GAUUAACGCUAGCGGCAGGCAUAAUACAUGCAAGUUGAACGGCAGCACAGGUAGCAAUACUGGGUGGCGAGUGGCGCACGGGUGCGUAACACGUAUGCAACCUACCCUAUACAGGCGAAUAACCUUUAGAAAUGAGGGCUAAUACGCCGUAGUAUUACAGAUGGGCAUCUAUUUGUAAUUAAAGAUUUAUCGGUAUAGGAUGGGCAUGCGUCCCAUUAGUUAGUUGGUAAGGUAACGGCUUACCAAGACGAUGAUGGGUAGGGGAUCUGAGAGGACUUACCCCCACACUGGUACUGAGACACGGACCAGACUCCUACGGGAGGCAGCAGUAAGGAAUAUUGGGCAAUGGCCGCGAGGCUGACCCAGCCAUGCCGCGUGCAGGAAGACGGCCUUAUGGGUUGUAAACUACUUUUAUACGGGAAUAAUAGAGUGUACGCGUACAUUUAUGCAAGUAUCGUAUGAAUAAGCAUCGGCUAACUCCGUG
Molecule: ribosomal RNA, 484 nt
Filed under: uncultured bacterium
Lineage: Bacteria
Description: partial 16S ribosomal RNA
Rfam family: Bacterial small subunit ribosomal RNA
Source: RNAcentral